AACAGCAAAUCAUUAACACAAUCUGUUUAGAUAAAGGACUUCACUAGGUGUCAGCUCGAUAGAGGGGGCACUGACACACACACUACCCAGUUUCCUAAUGAAAUCGGCUUCUAUUAUCUCUCGCGUGAGCUGUGUCUCGCUAAAACCUCCGUAUCUUCAAAGAGGGGCUCGCAGCCGACGCAGUCGCAAUCUCGGCAAUAGAUGCCCAAGUGGCCUUGAACAGUGUUAUGCGCGUUAUUGUGGUGUUCCCUUAGGCGAUCAUUUAAGCCCCUGCCGGUCUGUCCAACAUAUUUACUUCCGCAAAACGGGGGAACCUGGUAAACCACAUUAGUUGCGCAUGUAACAAAACGUUUUUUGUGCGCGACAGAGCAACAACUCUGAUGUGAUUUGGGCGCAUUGACACGUUUACAGAGCCUUGCCAGCUUUUCCGGGGCUCAGACAACUACAUUGAUUCCUGCACGCUGCCCAAUGUUUUUUAGUCUAUGGGAGACAUCAGUGAAUACACGCGACCACUGCAACCCAGCGCUUUUCCACCGGCUGGCUCCGUGACUGAGCGGCCUCAUCACGUUUGGUGCGCUUAAGAAGCUGUUCUGCUAUGGCUGAAAUUACGGCCACAGGGUAUCCAGCACAAAAAAGGUGACCAACCUGUGCGGCAAAACUAUGUUGCAUGCCGUGCGGACAUGAUUUAUUGAGGCUAUUGACUGAGCAUAAAUUUAUAAUAGCUCAUUUAACGAGCUUUGAGUGUGCCGAAUUAACGGGAAAGAGUGGCUUUUCACUCCUAGGUUCGAAGAACCAGCACACAUGUAUGUUAGAAAGGCUCAGCCUGAGAUCUAGAAACCGUAAGGAAUUAUCCAUGGGAAGCUCGUGUGUAAGUUCCAAAUGCUGCAGCUCUUUCUUAAAUAUGCUAAAACUCCAGACGCUGCAGGCUCGAAACUGUUAUCAGUGCAAUCAAUAAACACCAGGAAGUCAUCAACAAA
Dermacentor silvarum is the source of this 977-nucleotide long non-coding RNA. RefSeq lists it as uncharacterized. The record is from RefSeq and is a predicted model, not a curated record. Lineage: Eukaryota; Metazoa; Arthropoda; Arachnida; Ixodida; Ixodidae. The transcript is spliced from 2 exons.